RNAcentral lists this ribosomal RNA (446 nucleotides) under uncultured bacterium. RNAcentral's name for it is "bacterial SSU rRNA". It matches the Rfam family "Bacterial small subunit ribosomal RNA", at positions 329 to 792 of the family's 1533-position model. The record is from RNAcentral.
UACCAGACUCCUACGGGAGGCAGCAGUGGGGAAUAUUGGGCAAUGGGCGCAAGCCUGACCCAGCAACGCCGCGUGUGGGAAGACGGUCCUCUGGAUUGUAAACCACUGUCCCCAGGGACGAAGAUGACGGUACCUGGGGAGGAAGCUCCGGCUAACUACGUGCCAGCAGCCGCGGUAAUACGGAGGAUGCGAGCGUUAUCCGGAUUUAUUGGGUUUAAAGGGUGCGUAGGCGGCAUUAUAAGUUAGUGGUAAAAUAUUGGGGCUUCACCUCACUACGCCAUUAAUACUGUAGAGCUAGAGAACAGACGAGGUAGGCGGAAUAAGUUAAGUAGCGGUGAAAUGCAUAGAUAUAACUUAGAACACCGAUAGCGAAGGCAGCUUACCAGACUGAGUCUGACGCUGAUGCACGAGAGCAUGGGUAGCGAACAGGAUUAGAUACCCUAGUA